Molecule: ribosomal RNA, 253 nt
Filed under: uncultured bacterium
Lineage: Bacteria
Description: partial 16S ribosomal RNA
Rfam family: Bacterial small subunit ribosomal RNA
Source: RNAcentral
UACGAAGGGGACUAGCGUUGUUCGGAUUUACUGGGCGUAAAGCGCGCGUAGGCGGAUCACUAAGUCAGGGGUGAAAUCCCGAGGCUUAACCUCGGAACUGCCUUUGAUACUGGAGAUCUGGAGAUCGGGAGAGGUUGGUGGAAUUCCGAGUGUAGAGGUGAAAUUCGUAGAUAUUCGCAAGAACACCAGUGGCGAAGGCGGCUCACUGGCCCGAUACUGACGCUGAGGUGCGAAAGCGUGGGGAGCAAACAGG